This 946-nucleotide long non-coding RNA is filed under the name Salvia miltiorrhiza (redroot sage). RNAcentral describes it as "long non-coding RNA (SMIL_LNC006590)". The record is from RNAcentral. Lineage: Eukaryota; Viridiplantae; Streptophyta; Magnoliopsida; Lamiales; Lamiaceae.
UCCAAAGGAGGAUUGAUAGGCAAAAUCAAAACCGGAACCAAAGGGCUAUUGACAGGGUGGCGAAGCGUGUGCAGCCUCAGCCUGAGCAGCACAAUGAGGAGCAGCACAAUGUGGAGGCUGAGCCUCCGCCUGAGCAGCACAAUGAGGAGGGUGGGCCUCAGCCCGAGGAUGAGCAGCACAAUGAGGAGGAGGAGCCUCAGAAUUUGUUGCUGGAUAAUGUGGAUAAUGAGAAUUUGGGGCCUCAUGAUCUGUCGCCUGAGAAUUUGGGGCCUCAGAAUUUGUUGACUGCGGGGGAUGGGGAGAGGGAGGAGCAGGCUGUGGAUAAUGUGGAUAAUGAGAAUUUGGGGCCUCAUGAUCUGUCGCCUGAGAAUUUGGGGCCUCAGAAUUUGUUGACUGUGGGGGAUGAGGAUGAGGAUGAUAUGCCGGCUGAUAAUCUGAAUUCGGAGGAUGAUAAUCUGAAUUUAGAGGAUGAUCCGCCUCUUCACAAUGAUAAUCUGAAUUUGGUGGCUGAUCCGCCUAUUCAGCCUGUGGUUAAUCUGAAUUUUGUGGCUGAUCCGCCUAUUCAGCCUGAGCCUGUGGUUAGGGAGCCUCCGCGUGGGGAUAUGCGGGACCAAGGGGCUAAUAGUAAGAGGGCGGUGAAGGUGCCUGUGGUUAGGGAGCCUCUGCGUGGGGAUAUGCGGGACCAAGGGGCUAAUAGUAAGAGGGCGAAGAAGACGGAUAAGAGAGAGCAGGCUCAGGAUGGGUUCAAUCACUUUAGGCCCAAGGAUGAGAAUGAAGUUAAAGCGUAUUUAUUCAAGCUCGCAUUUAAAAGUCUACGCCUCUGUAAGGCUAUGGAAAUAAUUUUGAAAGAAAUGCCUACUGAAAAUUCUUCCAUAGGCUGGGAGGAUUUUAUCCAUAUGGUUCACAAAUCGCUUGAGGAAAUUUUUGACACCUAUCAGGUACAAUU